Non-coding RNA from Vicia faba (fava bean), 216 nucleotides. The record is from the annotation of a GenBank genome assembly. Lineage: Eukaryota; Viridiplantae; Streptophyta; Magnoliopsida; Fabales; Fabaceae.
AUGGAUGACGACGCUUUGCCAUUUUCAAUUGAACCCUCAUUAUUUAAUGUUUCUUUUGAGCUUUGCUGGCUUCAUUAUUUAAAGCUUCAAAUGCCUGUAAAGAGUACGAUUUGUUCCUUGCAUCUCUUCACCUACUACCUGCAAUUCUACUGCUACACUCUUUUCAUUUUGUUCCAAUCUUCAACAUUUUCGGAAUAUUCGUAUGGAAAUGAGUGA